This 495-nucleotide ribosomal RNA is filed under the name uncultured bacterium. RNAcentral's name for it is "partial 16S ribosomal RNA". It matches the Rfam family "Bacterial small subunit ribosomal RNA", at positions 30 to 507 of the family's 1533-position model. The record is from RNAcentral.
UGCACGCUGGCGGCGUGCCUAAUACAUGCAAGUCGAGCGACCAGACGAGGAGCUUGCUCCUCUGACGUUAGCGGCGGACGGGUGAGUAACACGUGGAUAACCUACCUAUAAGACCGGGAUAACUUCGGGAAACCGGAGCUAAUACCGGAUAAUAUAUUGAACCGCAUGGUUCAAUAGUGAAAGACGGUUUUGCUGUCACUUAUAGAUGGAUCCGCGCCGCAUUAGCUAGUUGGUAAGGUAACGGCUUACCAAGGCAACGAUGCGUAGCCGACCUGAGAGGGUGAUCGGCCACACUGGAACUGAGACACGGUCCAGACUCCUACGGGAGGCAGCAGUAGGGAAUCUUCCGCAAUGGGCGAAAGCCUGACGGAGCAACGCCGCGUGAGUGAUGAAGGUCUUCGGAUCGUAAAACUCUGUUAUUAGGGAAGAACAAAUGUGUAAGUAACUAUGCACGUCUUGACGGUACCUAAUCAGAAAGCCACGGCUAACUACGUG